UUUGUCGACUGUUUCUUUUGUAGUGCAAAAGAUUUUUGUCUGGAUGAAGUCCCAAUAGUUCAUUUUUGCCUUUGUUUCCCUUGCCUUUGGAGACUGUCUGGCAAGAAGUUGCGGUGGCUGAGGUCAUAGAAGUUGCUGCCUGUGUUCUUCU
Molecule: long non-coding RNA, 151 nt
Organism: Lutra lutra (Eurasian river otter)
Lineage: Eukaryota; Metazoa; Chordata; Mammalia; Carnivora; Mustelidae
Exons: 3
Source: RefSeq, a predicted model, not a curated record